This 353-nucleotide long non-coding RNA is filed under the name Micromonas commoda. Its description in RNAcentral is "long non-coding RNA (MCOM_LNC000468)". Lineage: Eukaryota; Viridiplantae; Chlorophyta; Mamiellophyceae; Mamiellales; Mamiellaceae. The record is from RNAcentral.
UAGGAGGAGGCGGCGCUGGAGCCGUAGGUCGCGGCCGCGGGGGCCGCACCGGCGCCGACGGUCUGCCUCUUCGGGGCGAAGUCGGGGUCGAUGUUCUCGAGGUCCACCGCCUGCUUGCGGGCGCCGAAGGACACGACGUUGCUCGUGGGGGCGGCCCUGUGCGUGGGCGCGGCGGGCGCGGGGGCGGAGUAGCCGGAGUUGGUGGUCGCCUUGGGGGCGAAGUCGGGGUCGAUGUUCUCGAGGUCGACGGCCUGCUUGCGCGCCGCGGGGGCCGCGGGGGCCGCGGGGGCGCCGCGGGGGGCGGGAUCCCAGGAGAAGUCGUUGGCGGGGGCGGCAGCCUUGGGAGCCGGGGG